CCAGACUCCUACGGGAGGCAGCAGUGGGGAAUAUUGCACAAUGGGCGCAAGCCUGAUGCAGCCAUGCCGCGUGUGUGAAGAAGGCCUUCGGGUUGUAAAGCACUUUCAGCGGGGAGGAAGGCAAUAAGGUUAAUAACCUUGUUGAUUGACGUUACCCGCAGAAGAAGCACCGGCUAACUCCGUGCCAGCAGCCGCGGUAAUACGGAGGGUGCAAGCGUUAAUCGGAAUUACUGGGCGUAAAGCGCACGCAGGCGGUCUGUCAAGUCGGAUGUGAAAUCCCCGGGCUCAAACUGGAAACUGCAUUCGAAACUGGCAGGCUGGAGUCUUGUAGAGGGGGGUAGAAUUCCAGGUGUAGCGGUGAAAUGCGUAGAGAUCUGGAGGAAUACCGGUGGCGAAGGCGGCCCCCUGGACAAAGACUGACGCUCAGGUGCGAAAGCGUGGGGAGCAAACAGGAUUAGAUACCCCCGUACAU
This 472-nucleotide ribosomal RNA is filed under the name uncultured bacterium. Its description in RNAcentral is "bacterial SSU rRNA". It matches the Rfam family "Bacterial small subunit ribosomal RNA", at positions 331 to 794 of the family's 1533-position model. The record is from RNAcentral.